CAGGAGUCGGUUGUAGGUGGAAUAGCCAUCGUACACGGAGAUGGAAUCAUACCUACAGUUGAAGUCACCCUCAAGACUGUGGUCGGAGACCGGAAAGAUGAAUGAAGUACAAUGGCGGUGGCUGCCUACUAUACGCUGAAUUGACAGAAGACCCCAUGGUGGUGGCCAUGGCUGUGUGCUGACCGACCAGUAGGAGUGGACAGUGGUGGAAAUGGUGAGGGUCAGGAAUGACAUACGGCUGUCCGAAAUUAAGCAGGCCAUUGAGGAGAAUGAUGACACCUUUGCCAAUGUGGCAUCCAUCAGCCUACCAACAAUCACUCGCCUUUUUGAAGAGGCACCAGGUAUCUAUGCAACACAUUUACCUGGUGCCUUUUGAGACAAACAAUGACCGGGUGAAACAACUGCGGGCUGACUAUGUUCAGAGGGUGAUGGUGCUUGAUGCUGCAGUGAACCAUCACAAGUAUGUCUUUGUUGAUGAAGCAGGCUUCAACCUGGCCAAAACUUGGAGCCGUGGGCAGAACCUCAUCUGCCAACAGGUCCAAGUGCCUGGUCAACGUGGGGGAAACAUCUCCAUGUGCACAGCUAUCUCUGAAGAUGGUGUGGUAGGACCUAUGCCAUUACUUGGAUCCUAAAAUGCUGCACACAUUGUGUUUCUCGAUUAAAUUGAGCAGGCCUGUCAAGGUGAAGGGGUCACCAAUAUCAUUGUGUGGGAAAGUUUCAGGUUCCACCAUGCAGAGGUGGGAUCAGGCAUGGUUUUGGGCCCAUCCCUGAUUUGUGACCAUUUACCUGCACCCAUAGUCUCCUUUCCUCGACCCUAUUGAGUGUCACCCUCCCUCUGGCCAUGGAUAAUGUAUGCGAUGACAUCAACGCAGACCAGUGUCAAGCUUGGAUUCACCAUGCCAAAUGGUAUUUCCCGCGUGCAUGAACAAUGAGGACAUUCAUUGUGAUGUGAAUGAGAAUUUAUGGCCAAAUGCUCGAGACAGGCUUGAUGCAAAUGAAUGCGUGCUUAUACGUUAUGUUUAAUUUUCAUUAAUGUCAUUUGUUUCAAUUAAUGUAUUAUAUUUGAUUACAGACAGUACACAUUGUUGCAAUUAUAUCUGAAAAAUACAGUUUCUAUUUGUAUGAAUGAUUGUAGAUGAUGUCUUCAUUGAUCACACCUUUGAUUAUAAAUUGGAUAGAUAUUAUGGAAAUUAUAGAUUUUCUGUCAAUUUUGUUGGCUAAUGUAAGUGUAUUGCCUAAUGUGAAAACUGUGUAAUCAACUGUCAUUUACAAUACUGUAUCAUAUUGCUUCAGCACUUUUAAGGGCGAUUUAAAACACGUAUCUUGCAUGGUUUGCUAUUGGAUUAACUGGUAGUUAAAACAACUAAAUUUAAAAUAUAUAAUUAUGUUGUGUUUUGGUGAUUAAACCAAUGUUCUCAUUA
Oncorhynchus mykiss (rainbow trout) is the source of this 1421-nucleotide non-coding RNA. Lineage: Eukaryota; Metazoa; Chordata; Actinopteri; Salmoniformes; Salmonidae. The record is from RefSeq and is a predicted model, not a curated record.